AUUGAACGCUGGCGGCAGGCUUAACACAUGCAAGUCGAGCGGUAGCACAGGGGRSCUUGCUCCCUGGGUGACGAGCGGCGGACGGGUGAGUAAUGUCUGGGAAACUGCCUGAUGGAGGGGAUAACUACUGGAAACGGUAGCUAAUACCGCAUAACGUCGCAAGACCAAAGAGGGGGACCUUCGGGCCUCUUGCCAUCAGAUGUGCCCAGAUGGGAUUAGCUAGUAGGUGGGGUAAUGGCUCACCUAGGCGACGAUCCCUAGCUGGUCUGAGAGGAUGACCAGCCACACUGGAACUGAGACACGGUCCAGACUCCUACGGGAGGCAGCAGUGGGGAAUAUUGCACAAUGGGCGCAAGCCUGAUGCAGCCAUGCCGCGUGUGUGAAGAAGGCCUUCGGGUUGUAAAGCACUUUCAGCGAGGAGGAAGGUGGUGAGCUUAAUACGCUCAUCAAUUGACGUUACUCGCAGAAGAAGCACCGGCUAACUCCGUGCCAGCAGCCGCGGUAAUACGGAGGGUGCAAGCGUUAAUCGGAAUUACUGGGCGUAAAGCGCACGCAGGCGGUUUGUUAAGUCAGAUGUGAAAUCCCCGGGCUCAACCUGGGAACUGCAUUUGAAACUGGCAAGCUAGAGUCUCGUAGAGGGGGGUAGAAUUCCAGGUGUAGCGGUGAAAUGCGUAGAGAUCUGGAGGAAUACCGGUGGCGAAGGCGGCCCCCUGGACGAAGACUGACGCUCAGGUGCGAAAGCGUGGGGAGCAAACAGGAUUAGAUACCCUGGUAGUCCACGCUGUAAACGAUGUCGAUUUGGAGGUUGUGCCCUUGAGGCGUGGCUUCCGGAGCUAACGCGUUAAAUCGACCGCCUGGGGAGUACGGCCGCAAGGUUAAAACUCAAAUGAAUUGACGGGGGCCCGCACAAGCGGUGGAGCAUGUGGUUUAAUUCGAUGCAACGCGAAGAACCUUACCUACUCUUGACAUCCAGAGAACUUAGCAGAGAUGCUUUGGUGCCUUCGGGAACUCUGAGACAGGUGCUGCAUGGCUGUCGUCAGCUCGUGUUGUGAAAUGUUGGGUUAAGUCCCGCAACGAGCGCAACCCUUAUCCUUUGUUGCCAGCGGUUCGGCCGGGAACUCAAAGGAGACUGCCAGUGAUAAACUGGAGGAAGGUGGGGAUGACGUCAAGUCAUCAUGGCCCUUACGAGUAGGGCUACACACGUGCUACAAUGGCAUAUACAAAGAGAAGCGACCUCGCGAGAGCAAGCGGACCUCAUAAAGUAUGUCGUAGUCCGGAUUGGAGUCUGCAACUCGACUCCAUGAAGUCGGAAUCGCUAGUAAUCGUAGAUCAGAAUGCUACGGUGAAUACGUUCCCGGGCCUUGUACACACCGCCCGUCACACCAUGGGAGUGGGUUGCAAAAGAAGUAGGUAGCUUAACCUUCGGGAGGGCGCUUACCACUUUGUGAUUCAUGACUGGGGUGAAGUCGUAACAAGGUAACCGUAGGGGAACCUGCGGUUGGAUCACCUCCUUACCUAAAGAUAUUAGUUCGAGUGGCGUGCUCACACAGAUUGUCUGAUGAAAAAGUAACGAGCAAAGCGCUACCUGUUGAUGCCAUGAGUUAUUCAUGCUGAUACGAACCGAUUAAGUUAUUCAGUUUAAUCGGAUUUUCGUGUCCCCAUCGUCUAGAGGCCUAGGACACUGCCCUUUCACGGCUGUAACAGGGNUUCGAAUCCCUUGGGGACGCCAUUCCGAUAAUGAGUGAAAGACAUUAUCACCGGUCACGACAGGCCGAAAAAAUCUUAAAGAUGACUUGCGAGUCAUGUUUAAGAUAUUGCUCUUUAACAAUCUGGAACAAGCUGAAAAUUGAAACAUGACGGCUGAAAUUUAUCCCUCCGUAGACGUAUUGGGAUAAAGAGUAACCUGUCAUAGAGUCUCUCAAAUGUUUGCAGCACGAACGAUGGAAACAUCUUCGGGUUGUGAGGUUAAGUGACUAAGCGUACACGGUGGAUGCCUAGGCAGUCAGAGGCGAUGAAGGGCGUGCUAAUCUGCGAAAAGCGUCGGUAAGGUGAUAUGAACCGUUACAACCGGCGAUACCCGAAUGGGGAAACCCAGUGUGUUUCGACACACUAUCAUGUCAUGAAUACAUAGUGGCAUGAGGCGAACCGGGNAACUGAAACAUCUAAGUACCCCGAGGAAANGAAAUCAACCGAGAUUCCCCAGUAGCGGCGAGCGAACGGGGAGGAGCCCAGAACCUGAAUCGGCUUGUGUGUUAGUGGAAGCGUCUGGAAAGUCGCGCAGUAAAGGGUGAUAGCCCCGUACACUAAAAUGCACAGGUCGUGAGUUCGAUGAGUAGGGCGGGACACGUGACAUCCUGUCUGAAUAUGGGGGGACCAUCCUCCAAGGCUAAAUACUCCUGACUGACCGAUAGUGAACCAGUACCGUGAGGGAAAGGCGAAAGAACCCCGGCGAGGGNGUGAAAUAGAACCUGAAACCGUGUACGUACAAGCAGUGGGAGCACCUUCGUGGUGUGACUGCGUACCUUUUGUAUAAUGGGUCAGCGACUUAUAUUUUGUAGCAAGGUUAACCGUAUAGGGGAGCCGUAGGGAAACCGAGUCUUAACUGGGCGAAUAGUUGCAAGGUAUAGACCCGAAACCCGGUGAUCUAGCCAUGGGCAGGUUGAAGGUUGGGUAACACUAACUGGAGGACCGAACCGACUAAUGUUGAAAAAUUAGCGGAUGACUUGUGGCUGGGGNUGAAAGGCCAAUCAAACCGGGAGAUAGCUGGUUCUCCCCGAAAGCUAUUUAGGUAGCGCCUCGUGAACUCAUCUUCGGGGGUAGAGCACUGUUUCGGCUANGGGGCCAUCCCGGCUUACCAAACCGAUGCAAACUCCGAAUACCGAAGAAUGUUAUCACGGGAGACACACGGCGGGUGCUAACGUCCGUCGUGAAGAGGNAAACAACCCAGACCGCCAGCUAAGGUCCCAAAGUCAUGGUUAAGUGGGAAACGAUGUGGGAAGGCAUAGACAGCCAGGAUGUUGGCUUAGAAGCAGCCAUCAUUUAAAGAAAGCGUAAUAGCUCACUGGUCGAGUCGGCCUGCGCGGAAGAUGUAACGGGGCUAAACCAUGCACCGAAGCUGCGGCAGCGACGCUUAGGCGUUGUUGGGUANGGGAGCGUUCUGUAAGCCGUUGAAGGUGGCCUGUGAGGGUUGCUGGAGGUAUCAGAAGUGCGAAUGCUGACAUAAGUAACGAUAAAGCGGGUGAAAAGCCCGCUCGCCGGAAGACCAAGGGUUCCUGUCCAACGUUAAUCGGGGCAGGGUGAGUCGACCCCUAAGGCGAGGCUGAAAAGCGUAGUCGAUGGGAAACAGGUUAAUAUUCCUGUACUUGGUGUUACUGCGAAGGGGGACGGAGAAGGCUAGGCUAGCCGGGCGACGGUUGUCCCGGUUUAAGCGUGUAGGGGGUGUGACCUGGUAAAUCCGGUUACAUACUAACCCUGAGGCGUGAUGACGAUGCACUACGGUGCAGAAGUAGUUGAUGCCCUGCUUCCAGGAAAAGCCUCUAAGCUCAGGUAACAUUAAAUCGUACCCCAAACCGACACAGGUGGUCAGGUAGAGAAUACCAAGGCGCUUGAGAGAACUCGGGUGAAGGAACUAGGCAAAAUGGUGCCGUAACUUCGGGAGAAGGCACGCUGGCAUGUAGGUGAAGUCCCUUGCGGAUGGAGCUGAAGCCAGUCGAAGAUACCAGCUGGCUGCAACUGUUUAAUAAAAACACAGCACUGUGCAAACACGAAAGUGGACGUAUACGGUGUGACGCCUGCCCGGUGCUGGAAGGUUAAUUGAUGGGGUCAGCCGCAAGGCGAAGCUCUUGAUCGAAGCCCCAGUAAACGGCGGCCGUAACUAUAACGGUCCUAAGGUAGCGAAAUUCCUUGUCGGGUAAGUUCCGACCUGCACGAAUGGCGUAAUGAUGGCCAGGCUGUCUCCACCCGAGACUCAGUGAAAUUGAACUCGCUGUGAAGAUGCAGUGUACCCGCGGCAAGACGGAAAGACCCCGUGAACCUUUACUAUAGCUUGACACUGAACAUUGAGCCUUGAUGUGUAGGAUAGGUGGGAGGCUUUGAAGCGUGGACGCCAGUCUGCGUGGAGCCAUCCUUGAAAUACCACCCUUUAAUGUUUGAUGUUCUAACUCGGCCCCAUAAUCUGGGGUGAGGACAGUGUCUGGUGGG
RNAcentral lists this ribosomal RNA (4200 nucleotides) under Serratia marcescens. RNAcentral's name for it is "partial 16S ribosomal RNA". Lineage: Bacteria; Pseudomonadati; Pseudomonadota; Gammaproteobacteria; Enterobacterales; Yersiniaceae. The record is from RNAcentral.